RNAcentral lists this signal recognition particle RNA (266 nucleotides) under Candidatus Zixiibacteriota bacterium. RNAcentral's name for it is "signal recognition particle sRNA large type". It matches the Rfam family "Bacterial large signal recognition particle RNA". From Rfam's summary of the family: The signal recognition particle (SRP) is a universally conserved ribonucleoprotein involved in the co-translational targeting of proteins to membranes. Lineage: Bacteria; Pseudomonadati; Candidatus Zixiibacteriota. The record is from RNAcentral.
GCGUGCUAAGCGGGGAGUUAGCGGUGCCCUGUACCCGGAACCCGCUAUACCGGGGCUGAACCCCCACUCGAGGUCGGUAACUUUUAAGCGGGCGUUAUCUGAUGGCGUUGAACGGACGGGCCUUGCGCAACGGACGGCCGCCGAACCCCGUCAGGACCGGAAGGUAGCAGCGGUAAGUGGAAUCGCCGUGUGAUGCGAGUCAACCCGGCUGUGAGCCGGAGGAUGGCUGUCCAAAUAAGAGCCAACGAACGACAGUGGGUGCACGC